RNAcentral lists this ribosomal RNA (253 nucleotides) under uncultured bacterium. Its description in RNAcentral is "partial 16S ribosomal RNA". It matches the Rfam family "Bacterial small subunit ribosomal RNA", at positions 524 to 776 of the family's 1533-position model. The record is from RNAcentral.
UACAGAGGUCCCAAGCGUUGUUCGGAUUCACUGGGCGUAAAGGGUGCGUAGGUGGUGGGGUAAGUCGGAUGUGAAAUCUCCGAGCUCAACUCGGAAAUGGCAUUGGAAACUACCCUGCUUGAGGGUCGGAGGGGGGACUGGAAUGCUUGGUGUAGCAGUGAAAUGCGUAGAUAUCAAGCGGAACACCAGUGGCGAAGGCGAGUCCCUGGACGACUCCUGACACUGAGGCACGAAGGCCAGGGGAGCAAACGGG